AUGGGAACGCGAAGAACCUUACCUACUCUUGACAUCCAGAGAACUUUCCAGAGAUGGAUUGGUGCCUUCGGGAACUCUGAGACAGGUGCUGCAUGGCUGUCGUCAGCUCGUGUUGUGAAAUGUUGGGUUAAGUCCCGCAACGAGCGCAACCCGUUAUCCUUUGUUGCCAGCGGUUAGGCCGGGAACUCAAAGGAGACUGCCAGUGAUAAACUGGAGAAGGUGGGGAUGACGUCAAGUCAUCAUGGCCCUUACGAGUAGGGCUACACACGUGCUACAAUGGCGCAUACAAAGAGAAGCGACCUCGCGAGAGCAAGCGGACCUCAUAAAGUGCGUCGUAGUCCGGAUUGGAGUCUGCAACUCGACUCCAUGAAGUCGGAAUCGCUAGUAAUCGUAGAUCAGAAUGCUACGGUGAAUACGUUCCCGGGUCUUGUACACACCG
This 439-nucleotide ribosomal RNA is filed under the name uncultured bacterium. RNAcentral describes it as "bacterial SSU rRNA". It matches the Rfam family "Bacterial small subunit ribosomal RNA", at positions 954 to 1392 of the family's 1533-position model. The record is from RNAcentral.